Molecule: long non-coding RNA, 1078 nt
Filed under: Triticum aestivum (bread wheat)
Lineage: Eukaryota; Viridiplantae; Streptophyta; Magnoliopsida; Poales; Poaceae
Description: long non-coding RNA (TAES_LNC006777)
Source: RNAcentral
UUUGUGGUAUGUUUUUUUGAUCAUUCCAUGUUUCCCUGCACUGCUUGCUUUCCAGAUGGCCGCAUUUCUGUAACAGAAGAGUCACAAUAAGCUGCAAUCUGUUCAUGUGAACCUUGUCAAAAUUAUUAUCAGCUUGUCAGUGAAGAGCUAUCCUUCAUUCGUAAGGAGCAGGUGUGAGUUUCUGAAAUUAUUGGCUACCGCUCGUGUUCUCCUUGUGUCACGCUACGUUGUGAGUCUGACAGUACGAGGCAUGUUUUGCCAGCAGCCUGGUUCUGAAAAGCAAGCAGCAGAUUUCAUUUACAGCCAGGUGAUUAUUAUGAAGUUAGAUGCACUUUGUUUUCUGAACACUCGUAUUCGUGGUUGUUUUGUGUUUUACUCUGUUCGUCAUCAAACUACUACUCUUGGAAUUGACGCCUGAUCGAUAGGAUCAUGGAACUGGAUAAAUCUCUUAUGUGAAAAUUUCAUCCUCUCUGUUUGUGUAGGAUCUAAUACAGCUAGGCUUCUGACGGAGAAAAUUGCAGGAGGCUUCUUCUCCUAUACUCUGCCCAGCCGCAGCACAGGAGGAAAGCAGCCAGACGUGGCCGCGCUGCUCUUGGGUUCUUCUACAGCGAUGCGUCGGCAGGCGACCGGCUGCUGCAGUGCUUCUACUACACCUCCUGGUGCGUUUAUAUAUGUUGUGUAGGUUUGCAUUGGGUAGAAGUUCUUUGUCUGUAAUUGUGGUUUGAUUUGAUACUAAAUCGUGUGUAAGUGUGCCUUUUUUUUUCUUGCGGAAGUGUGUAAUUGUGUCUGCAAGUGAAAUCAUCUUGAGCAUGAUAGAGAUAAAUAGCUUACAGAAAUCUAAUGGUACUCCUCCAUUUAAAGCAGACAUAUAUAGUCAGGACUUGACAUCAGGAUCGAUCACACCCGUAUCCGUAUCAAAAAUUCCAAGAUGGGAUGUGAUUUGAUACGCUCUCUGUUUUUUUUUGAGACACUGAUACGCUCUCUGGUGGUGCCACAAUUAAAGCCCAUGUGGCAGACCAGAUCCAUGAAAUUCAAAAUGGGUUAUGCAGUGAGUUAAUAGUAGGAUCGAAACUGUUUG